AACGAACGCUGGCGGCAGGCCUAACACAUGCAAGUCGAGCGCUCUAGCAAUAGGGAGCGGCGCACGGGUGAGUAACGCGUAGGAAUCUACCUUGUAGUACGGAACAACAGUUGGAAACGACUGCUAAUACCGUAUACGCCCUUCGGGGGAAAGAAUUUCGCUAUAAGAUGAGCCUGCGUUAGAUUAGCUAGUUGGUGAGGUAAUGGCUCACCAAGGCUCCGAUCUAUAGCUGGUCUGAGAGGAUGAUCAGCCACACUGGGACUGAGACACGGCCCAGACUCCUACGGGAGGCAGCAGUGGGGAAUAUUGGGCAAUGGGCGCAAGCCUGACCCAGCCAUGCCGCGUGAGUGAUGACGGCCUUAGGGUUGUAAAGCUCUUUUAGUGGUGAGGAUGAUGACGGUAACCACAGAAAAAGCCCCGGCUAACUUCGUGCCAGCAGCCGCAGUAA
RNAcentral lists this ribosomal RNA (448 nucleotides) under uncultured bacterium. Its description in RNAcentral is "partial 16S ribosomal RNA". It matches the Rfam family "Bacterial small subunit ribosomal RNA", at positions 29 to 523 of the family's 1533-position model. The record is from RNAcentral.